Non-coding RNA from Phytophthora infestans T30-4, 72 nucleotides. Lineage: Eukaryota; Oomycota; Peronosporomycetes; Peronosporales; Peronosporaceae. The record is from the annotation of a RefSeq genome assembly.
UCUUUAUGGUGUAAUGGCUCAGCACUCUGGGACUUUUAAUCCAGCGAUCACGAGUGCAAAUCCCGAUUAGAA